RNAcentral lists this long non-coding RNA (204 nucleotides) under Mytilus galloprovincialis (Mediterranean mussel). Lineage: Eukaryota; Metazoa; Mollusca; Bivalvia; Mytilida; Mytilidae. The record is from RNAcentral.
CUACUGGGGUAUUGAAUUAAGGGUGUCAAUGUUCGACGACAUAAUUACUAUUCUAUUACAGAAUUCCUAUCCAAUUCAAUAUAACUAUCUGCCCUUCAGUCUUAAAGGAUUUUGUACUGAAAUCUUUAACUACACUUAACGACAAUUAAUGUUUGAUAUUUUAAUCUUUAGGAGCCAGGAACUCCAAUAUACGGUCAGGUAAAG